AUGCUAAUCGUGGGUGAGCUCAGUGGUUCAAGUACGGAGAGUGUGGCGGGCCAUGCUGUGGGCCAGUCUCCUGCUGAUGGCAUUGACACGGGUGAUGGCCUAUCGGAGGCAAGCGUGGUGGGCCAUGUGGUGGAAUGUGGUAGCUCGUGUCUAGGGAGCGUGUCCGGUCGCGGUGGUAUGAGACGGCAGGAUCGAGGAUUCCAGGUCCAACCAGAGGGUCAGGCUGUGGGAUGGCUAGUUGGGCCCGCAGGCUCCAAUGGCCAAUGGGAAGAUGAGGCACGCCCAUCCCAUCUGGUCUCCCCAUGCGUGGGUCAGUCUGAUCGGCCUGGGGAUUCCCCCACGGUCAGGGUGGCGUCAUGGGACCUGCAGCUGCCCCAAAGCCAGUUGGAGGCAUCGGUUGGUCGGGAUCUCACGCCGACCGAGGAGGAUGCGAUGAGUUUCGGCACUUGCCUAUUGGAGGGCUCGGUGGAGCAGGCAGAGGAUAGGACAAGGGAACUGGGCCCACUCUUCAUGGGGAUGGGGCGUCUCCAUGCACGCCAUGCACGCCCAAUUCUGGGUGGUUUCUCGUGUCGCUUUCGGAACAGCGGGAGGGACAGGAGGAUUCGGAGGGCCAAAUGCAAUCCCCGCAAAGGCGAGUGCAAGUUUUUUGCUCGGAGCUGCGGCAGGAAAUCUCACCUCUCGUGGCGCACCCGACAAGUCGAAACGUGA
RNAcentral lists this ribosomal RNA (708 nucleotides) under Triticum aestivum (bread wheat). Its description in RNAcentral is "partial small subunit ribosomal RNA". The record is from RNAcentral. Lineage: Eukaryota; Viridiplantae; Streptophyta; Magnoliopsida; Poales; Poaceae.